This 484-nucleotide ribosomal RNA is filed under the name uncultured bacterium. RNAcentral describes it as "partial 16S ribosomal RNA". It matches the Rfam family "Bacterial small subunit ribosomal RNA", at positions 30 to 507 of the family's 1533-position model. The record is from RNAcentral.
AUUGAACGCUGGCGGAAUGCUUUACACAUGCAAGUCGAACGGCAGCACGUGGUCAGCCUUGGUGGUGAGUGGCGAACGGGUGAGUAAUACAUCGGAACGUGCCCUGUCGUUGGGGAUAACGUAGCGAAUGUUACGCUAAUACCGCAUCCGAUCUGAGGUUUAAACCGGGGGACCUUCUUGCCUCGCUCCAUUGGAGCCGCCGAUGUCUGAUUCCGUAUUUGGUGGGGUAAAGGCCUACCAAGCCGAUGAUCUGUAGCUGGUCUGAGAGGACGACCAGCCACACGGGGACUGAGACACGGCCAAAACUCCUAGGGGAGGCAGAAGAGGGGAAUUUUGGACAAGGGGGGAAAGCCUGAUCCAGACAGCCCGGGUGGAGAACGAAGGCUUUCGGGUGGUAAACUGCGUUUGUAGGGGACAAAAAGGCUCUGGCUAAAAACUGGAGCUAAUGACGGUAACGUAAGAAUAAGCACCGGCUAACUACGUG